RNAcentral lists this ribosomal RNA (253 nucleotides) under uncultured bacterium. RNAcentral's name for it is "partial 16S ribosomal RNA". It matches the Rfam family "Bacterial small subunit ribosomal RNA", at positions 524 to 776 of the family's 1533-position model. The record is from RNAcentral.
GACAGAGGGCGCGAGCGUUGUUCGGAAUUACUGGGCGUAAAGCGCACGCAGGUGGCUGAGUCAGUCGAUUGUGAAAGCCCUGGGCUUAACCUGGGAAUUGCAGUCGAUACUACUUAGCUAGAGUAUGGGAGAGGGCAGUGGAAUUCCCGGUGUAGCGGUGAAAUGCGUAGAUAUCGGGAGGAACAUCAGUGGCGAAGGCGGCUGCCUGGCCCAAUACUGACACUCAGGUGCGACAGCGUGGGGAGCAAACAGG